UCGGACAAUAUACAAGGUGCUGCAUGGUUGUCGUCAGCUCGUGCCGUGAGGUGUCGGGUUAACGUCCCAUAACGAGCGCCAACCCCUAUCAUUAGUUGCCAUCAGGUCAAGCUGGGGACUCUAAUGAAACUGCCUACGCAAGUAGUGAGGAAGGCGGGGAUGACGUCAAAUCAGCACGGCCCUUACGUCCAGGGCUACACACGUGCUACAAUGGCCGAUACAGAGGGCAGCUACCUGGUGACAGGAUGCAAAUCUCCAAAGUCGGUCUCAGUUCGGAUCGGAGUCUGCAACCCGACUCCGUGAAGUUGGAUUCGCUAGUAAUCGCGCAUCAGCCAUGGCGCGGUGAAUACGUUCCCGGGCCUU
This 363-nucleotide ribosomal RNA is filed under the name uncultured Sphingobacteriales bacterium. Its description in RNAcentral is "bacterial SSU rRNA". It matches the Rfam family "Bacterial small subunit ribosomal RNA", at positions 1022 to 1382 of the family's 1533-position model. Lineage: Bacteria; Pseudomonadati; Bacteroidota; Sphingobacteriia; Sphingobacteriales. The record is from RNAcentral.